CCUACGGGAGGCAGCAGUGGGGAAUAUUGGACAAUGGGGGCAACCCUGAUCCAGCCAUGCCGCGUGUGUGAAGAAGGCCCUCGGGUUGUAAAGCACUUUCAGUGAGGAAGAACGCCUGGUGGUUAAUACCCAUCAGGAAAGACAUCACUCACAGAAGAAGCACCGGCUAACUCCGUGCCAGCAGCCGCGGUAAUACGGAGGGUGCGAGCGUUAAUCGGAAUUACUGGGCGUAAAGCGCGCGUAGGUGGCUUGAUAAGCCGGUUGUGAAAGCCCCGGGCUCAACCUGGGAACGGCAUCUGGAACUGUCAAGCUAGAGUGCAGGAGAGGAAGGUAGAAUUCCCGGUGUAGCGGUGAAAUGCGUAGAGAUCGGGAGGAAUACCAGUGGCGAAGGCGGCCUUCUGGACUGACACUGACACUGAGGUGCGAAAGCGUGGGUAGCAAACAGGAUUAGAUACCCCAGUAGUC
RNAcentral lists this ribosomal RNA (465 nucleotides) under Vreelandella stevensii. Its description in RNAcentral is "partial 16S ribosomal RNA". It matches the Rfam family "Bacterial small subunit ribosomal RNA", at positions 338 to 795 of the family's 1533-position model. Lineage: Bacteria; Pseudomonadati; Pseudomonadota; Gammaproteobacteria; Oceanospirillales; Halomonadaceae. The record is from RNAcentral.